This is an RNA transcript of Nannospalax galili (Upper Galilee mountains blind mole rat), 477 nucleotides long. It is a transcript of the gene named 60S acidic ribosomal protein P1 pseudogene, with no coding region annotated. The transcript is spliced from 2 exons. NCBI's taxonomy places the organism in Eukaryota, Metazoa, Chordata, Mammalia, Rodentia, Spalacidae. The record is from RefSeq and is a predicted model, not a curated record.
AUGCCGCUGAGGGCAGUUCCUGAAGGCAUGCCGAAUGUCAUUUUCACAGCAUUAGUCAGAGUAGGCCGCGUUGGGGUGAGGCCCUCACUUCAUACGGCGACUAGCACCAAGCCGGUGCAGCAUGGCUUCCGUGUCCUCAUCCUGCACGACGAUGAGGUCACCGUGAUGGAGGAGAAGAUCAAUGCUCUCAUUAAAGCAGCUGGCGUCAAUGUUGGACCUUUUUGGCCUGGCUUGUUUGCAAAGGCCCUGGCCAAUGUCAACACUGGGAGCCUCAUCUGCAAUGUAGGGGCUGGUGGACCUGCUCCAGAAGCUGCUGCCGCUCCAGCAGGUGGUCCUGUCCCCUCUGCUGCCGCUGCCCUGGCUGAGGAGAAGAAAGUGGACGCAAAGAAAGAAGAAUCAGAGGAGGCUGAUGAUGACACGGGCUUCGGUCUUUUUGACUAAACCUUUUAACAUACUCAAUAAAAAGCUGGACCUUUU